RNAcentral lists this unclassified non-coding RNA (309 nucleotides) under Hevea brasiliensis (rubber tree). The record is from RNAcentral. Lineage: Eukaryota; Viridiplantae; Streptophyta; Magnoliopsida; Malpighiales; Euphorbiaceae.
AAGAUGGCCUGAAGGGAUUCUUCCGUGGGACCGGUGCCACUCUUUGUAGGGAAGUUCCAUUCUAUGUUGCGGGCAUGGGUCUUUAUGCUGAAUCCAAAAAGGCCGCUGAGAAACUUCUUUCACGAGAACUUGAGCCAUGGGAAACAAUCGCAGUUGGGGCAUUGUCGGGUGGGCUAGCUGCUGUUGUCACAACACCUUUCGACGUGAUGAAGACAAGAAUGAUGACAGCUCAAGGUCGAUCAGUGUCAAUGUCAUUUGUUUUCGUUUCAAUUCUUCGCCACGAAGGCCCCAUCGGCUUGUUCAAAGGAG